Small nucleolar RNA from Eutrema salsugineum, 139 nucleotides. It matches the Rfam family "Small nucleolar RNA Z247". Rfam says of the family: Z247 is a member of the C/D class of snoRNA which contain the C (UGAUGA) and D (CUGA) box motifs. Lineage: Eukaryota; Viridiplantae; Streptophyta; Magnoliopsida; Brassicales; Brassicaceae. The record is from Rfam.
CCUCUGGAUCAUGAAGAUCAAAUCGAUUAUAUUCUUGGUGGCCUGCCAGAUGAUUACAAACAGGUGGUGGAACAGAUUGAGAGUCGCGAUGCUCCUCCAUCGCUCACUGAAAUUCAUGAAAAGCUCAUUAACUUCCAAG